RNAcentral lists this long non-coding RNA (2159 nucleotides) under Lynx canadensis (Canada lynx). Its description in RNAcentral is "lncRNA (ENSLCNG00005012006.1)". The record is from RNAcentral. Lineage: Eukaryota; Metazoa; Chordata; Mammalia; Carnivora; Felidae.
CACAUUAAAGGCACUCAAUAAAUAAAAAUACAUAUUGAAUGAAUGAAGAACUGGAAGGUAGGGUAUGAUGGGAAAAUGGCAAAAAUAUGAGGCCUAAGAGGUGGCCAGAGACCAUGCCCUGAAUGACCUCAAAGCCAUGUUUCUGAAGGUCAAUGGGAUACCACUGAUCUGUCUUAUGUAUGGGAUUAAUAUGAUCAGACUUGUAUUCUUUUAAAAUCACUCUGAUAAUAGUAUAGAGGAUUAGUAGAAGGUAAGCCUGAGAGAAGAAGGAAUCGGAAUUUCUGAUAGAUGGUAAUGCCUAUCACUGAAAUAAGGAACAUGGGAGAGAAAUAGUUUGGAUGGUGGGUAUGGUGAUGGUAAGAAAUGACAUUUUAGACAUUUGAAGUAGUGGAUUAGAAGACAGUACUGAGGCUUCACCAAAAUGUAACACAGAGAGACAAAAAGUAAAAAUAUAAAAGAGCGGUCAAAAGCCAUGGAGGAUAUAUUGAACUAGUCCAUUGUAUAUUUAAUAGGAAAUCCAGAACAAGAUAAAAAUGAGAAUGUUGGAAAAUGAUAUUGAAACAGACGACUGAGAGUUUUCCAGGAUUGAGAGUCAAAAAUCUUUAUAAUCUUUAUUCCGGUUGAAGAUGCACCCAAAUAUGAAACAAGAAAAAUAAAAAUAAAUCUGUACCAAGUCAUGUCCCAGUGAAACUUCAGAACAUCAAGAGUAAAAAGGAAAAUAGUACAAACUUACAGAGAGAAAAGAGAUUGCCUGCAAUAGACUGACAGUGGGUCCAACAGCAUGCUUUCCUCCAGCAACAAUACAUGCUGAAGGCGGGUGACCGAUAUCUUCAAAGUGCUAUGAGAAGUACCACCUACUCCUCAUGCCAUCUGUAUGUGGAACUGAAGCACAGAGCUCUGAUAAUUCUUUCUGAAGAAUUCCGUAUGCUGGUCUCUCUAGAAUCUUUCAGGAAAAGAGACUUUAUGGUUUCUUGCAGACUUUCCAGCAAGGCUUAAUUCCACUGAAAUCAGUGCCUUGGGGCAAUAUCUGUUUUGCCAGCCACCUCAUGGACUGGGAGAGAAAGGGGAAGGGACUAUCAGAGUAUGAAAGAGAGAGAAGAAAACAAAGAAUAUAAUCAAGUUAAUACUUGAAGAUAUAUGCCUGCCUCAAAUGUGAGACUAGUAUCUACAUUAUAAAAGAAUAGAAGAAGUUACAGAAUUUUAUCACAAGUGGAUUGUUUUAGUUAUGAGCAAGUGUUGUAUACUGACAAGUGGGUGAGGUCUGGAUCUGGAUUAUCUGAAUUUGAACAUAGUUUCUUUUUUUUUUUUUUUUUAAAGAUUUUUAUUUUAUUUUUAAUUUUUUUUCCUUAGAGAGAAAGAGCACCUGAUGAGCUGGGGAGAGAGAGCGAGAGAAUUUUAAGCAGGCUCUGUUCUCAGCACAGAGCCCAAUGUGGGGCUCAAUCCCACAACCUUGAGAUCAUGACCUGAGCCAAGAUCAAGAGUUGGAUGCUCAACCACCAGGCGCCCCUGGGUUAUCUGAAUUUGAAUCCUCACUCUUAACAUUUUCCUCCCAGUUUUAUUGAGAUAUAAUUGACAUUCAGCAAUGCAGAAGUUUAAAAUGCACAGCAUAGGGAUACCUGGCUGUCAGUUGGUAGAGCGUGCAAUUCUUGAUCUCAAGAGUGUUGGGUGUGGGGCCUACUUAAACAUGGGGGCCCCAUGUUGGGUGUGGGGCCUACUUAAAAUAAUAAUAAAAUAAUAAAAUAAAAUUAAAUGUACAGCAUAACAACUUGAAUCACAUAUAUUGUAAAAUAAUCACCACAAUAUCUAACACUUUUUAGUUGUAUGUACUUGAGCAAGGUACUGAACUUCUCUGUACCUCAGUUUUCUCAUUAGUGAAAGUGUAUAAUAAUAAUGAUAGCACCUACCUCAUACAGUGUUCUGAGGAAUAAAGAAGUUAAUACAUAUAAACCAUUUAUGGGACGCCUGGGUGGCGCAGUCGGUUAAGCGUCCGACUUCAGCCAGGUCACGAUCUCGCGGUCCGUGAGUUCGAGCCCCGCGUCAGGCUCUGGGCUGAUGGCUCAGAGCCUGGAGCCUGUUUCCAAUUCUGUGUCUCCCUCUCUCUCUGCCCCUCCCCCGUUCAUGCUGUGUCUCUCUCUGUCCCAAAAAUAAAUAAACGUUGA